GAUCUGGCUCAGGAUGAACGCUAGCGACAGGCCUAACACAUGCAAGUCGAGGGGCAGCGGGGAGGUAGCAAUACCUUUGCCGGCGACCGGCGCACGGGUGAGUAACACGUAUGCAAUCCACCUGUAACAGGGGGAUAACCCGGAGAAAUCCGGACUAAUACCCCAUGAUAUGGGCUCUCCGCAUGGAGGGUCCAUUAAAGAGAGCAAUCUUGGUUACAGACGAGCAUGCGCUCCA
This 235-nucleotide ribosomal RNA is filed under the name uncultured bacterium. RNAcentral's name for it is "partial 16S ribosomal RNA". It matches the Rfam family "Bacterial small subunit ribosomal RNA", at positions 15 to 240 of the family's 1533-position model. The record is from RNAcentral.